AUGGGACAGCCACAGCUUCUCUGGGCAACCUGUGCCAGGGUCUCCCCACCCUCACAGGGAAGAAUUCCUUGCCAAGAUCUCAUCUAAACCCACACUCUUUGUAUUUAAAGCCAUUUCCCCUUGUCCUGUCA
This is a long non-coding RNA of Corapipo altera (White-ruffed manakin), 131 nucleotides long. RefSeq lists it as uncharacterized. NCBI's taxonomy places the organism in Eukaryota, Metazoa, Chordata, Aves, Passeriformes, Pipridae. The record is from RefSeq and is a predicted model, not a curated record. The transcript is spliced from 4 exons.